RNAcentral lists this ribosomal RNA (468 nucleotides) under uncultured bacterium. RNAcentral's name for it is "partial 16S ribosomal RNA". It matches the Rfam family "Bacterial small subunit ribosomal RNA", at positions 28 to 507 of the family's 1533-position model. The record is from RNAcentral.
GACGAACGCUGGCGGCGUGCUUAACACAUGCAAGUCGAACGGAAAGGCCCUGCUUUUGUGGUGUGCUCGAGUGGCGAACGGGUGAGUAACACGUGAGUAACCUGCCCUUGACUUUGGGAUAACUUCAGGAAACUGGGGCUAAUACCGGAUAGGAGCUCCUGCUGCAUGGUGGGGGUUGGAAAGUUUCGGCGGUUGGGGAUGGACUCGCGGCUUAUCAGCUUGUUGGUGGGGUAGUGGCUUACCAAGGCUUUGACGGGUAGCCGGCCUGAGAGGGUGACCGGCCACAUUGGGACUGAGAUACGGCCCAGACUCCUACGGGAGGCAGCAGCGGGGAAUAUUGCACAAUGGGCGGAAGCCUGAUGCAGCAACGCCGCGUGCGGGAUGACGGCCUUCGGGUUGUAAACCGCUUUCGCCUGUGACGAAGCGUGAGUGACGGUAAUGGGUAAAGAAGCACCGGCUAACUACGUG